This is a long non-coding RNA of Macaca fascicularis (crab-eating macaque), 2093 nucleotides long. Lineage: Eukaryota; Metazoa; Chordata; Mammalia; Primates; Cercopithecidae. The record is from Ensembl.
CCCAUCCUGAUGAACGAGCCCACAUUUCAAAAUGGGAUGUGUUUUAAUUAGCAUCCUGUGUCACCCCAGCAGCGACGUGAGGGGAGGAGUAGGGUGGGGGUGAGGCCGCUCCGCAGGUCCGCGGGAACCUGGGAGCUUGAGGAUUCUUCCUGGCUGCCUUCAUUUCCAGAGCUGGGAGAGAGAGAUCGAGUUUUUUUCUACCUCCUCGGCGCCGGGAAAACUCUAUUUGAACCUCUGAACAGUUAUGGCUUCAGAUUUUACCCUAGCACUUUCGAUGGGACCACCCAAGCUUACAGGGAGAGAAGGGUGUUUGAGAAGAUGGGACAUGGUGGGUUGGGGUGUGGGGGUGGGGGUCAGAGGGGUAUAUUAGCCUCCUUCCAGUAGGAGCGGUCCCACCAGCCCUGGUUGUGGACCACACAGAGCUGGGUCUGAGGCCCUGCUUCACAAGCCAUAUAUGGUAGGUCCAUGGUCCUUUUGCGUGGCCUCAGGGCCCAUGUUGGUAACAGGGAGGUUCAUAAAGACAGGUGCCAUUGUGCCAGAUGCUCUUCUAAGAGCUACAGGUGCUUACUCAUUUAAUCCUCACAACAACAAUAGGUCCUAGUAGGUAGGAACUAUUAUUACCCCUAUUUUACAGAUGAGGAAAUGAAGGCACAGCGAGAUUGAGUAACUUGCACAAGGUCACAUGUAGGAGAACCGAGCAUCCACCCUACGCAGCCUAGCCCCAAGGUCCAAGGUCCUGUUAUAUUAUAACUUCAUCUCUGUGGGGCUGUUGGAAAGUUUCACGAUGCCCUUUCUAUAAAGGGCUUAGUGCUCCAUAAAUGGUAGCUCAGAGAUCACUGAUCCCAUCUUCAAGGUGGGGAUUAAAGGACCUUGUGAUGCCCAGUGAUAUAUGAGACUUUGGCUUUGGGAUAAUGGCAGGCCAUGUCACUGUCCUGGGCAUUAUGGAUUCGCAAGGUCAGGGAUGUCCCAUUUGCUUUUUUGGCCAGCCCUUUGCACAUUAGCACAACCCCACAGCCAAGACUCACCCUGGAUCCACGAACGCCCUUUCCCACCCCCUGGUGAUUCUCCAGGGCCUCCAUAUUUUACACUUUACCAGACUAAUGCACCCUUUGGAACUGAGUUAACACUCAGGAUAGCAACUGUUAUAAACUCUAAAGAAAAUACAUUUCCUCUCUCUACAGCUGUGGAGCUUACGGGAGGAAACAGGAAUCGUGGCUCACCAAAUCCAGCCCAACUGCUUCCUUGUUCACAUGGGGAAAUUGAGGAAGGCCUAGGGAGGGUAAGGGACUUGCCCAAGGUGCCCAGUUCAUUAGCCACAGAACCCAUGCCCCCAGCUCUGAAACAAGUUCCAGUUAAAGUCUUCGCUGAUAACUUUAAAUCCUCCACUAACCAAGGGAGUCAUCUUUGCAUUUGCACAGAGGAGACGGGAAAAAAUCACAAAGCCCUUAAGGUCCAGAGGAAAUGAGUGUCACCACAUUGGGCUCCCAGGCUGUGCAACAAGCUGUGGACUGAGAUGUCUGGGCAGGGAGCCCGGUCCAGCUCCCUACCCAUCGCAUCAUGGAGUCAGCCAUCUCCUCUGGGGACUGCACCCUCUGGGUGCUGAGAAAUCCAAAUGGCUCUUUUUCAUGCAGCCGCCCCAAGUGUGCAAGAUGGCCUUUCUCUUGAUUUAUUUCCUGCUUACUUUAUGAGAGUCAAAGUGCAUCCUUCAGGACCAAAGUGGCCAAGGGGCCAGCAUGUUAUUUAGAGUGAUCAAAAUGGACCAUUUUCAACUUGGCCCUAAUUCAUCUUCAGAGUUUUGGUUUCCACUUGCUUUUACUUAUCUGUAUUUUCUAGCAUUUCUUUAGCAAAUUUGUAUUACUUUGGCAAUUAGAAAAAAUGACCAGUAAUUUUUAUAAAAGGAUUUGUGUUUGAUUUCCUUUCAGAAAGGCACUUUCAUUUAUUAAAAGAUCACAAUGAGAAGUGAGAUUAAAUUGAUCUUUCUCUCUGGCAAGGAUGUGUGGGGAGGAAUGGGGAGGUGAAUGCUGGGAGCAGAAGCCACAGCUGCAGAGGGCUGCAGUGAAUGAAGGCUGGACCAGGAGACUGGACCAGGAGGC